GACGAACGCUGGCGGCGUGCUUAACACAUGCAAGUCGAACGGAAAGGCCCUGCUUGCCGGGUACUCGAGUGGCGAACGGGUGAGUAACACGUGGGUGAUCUGCCCUGCACUUCGGGAUAAGCCUGGGAAACUGGGUCUAAUACCGGAUAGGAGCCAUUUUUAGUGUGAUGGUUGGAAAGUUUUUUCGGUGUAGGAUGAGCUCGCGGCCUAUCAGCUUGUUGGUGGGGUAAUGGCCUACCAAGGCGGCGACGGGUAGCCGGCCUGAGAGGGUGGACGGCCACAUUGGGACUGAGAUACGGCCCAGACUCCUACGGGAGGCAGCAGUGGGGAAUAUUGCACAAUGGGCGCAAGCCUGAUGCAGCGACGCCGCGUGGGGGAAGACGGCCUUCAGGUUGUAAACUCCUUUCGCUAGGGACGAAGCUUUUUGUGACGGUACCUAGAUAAGAAGCACCGGCUAACUACGUG
RNAcentral lists this ribosomal RNA (465 nucleotides) under uncultured bacterium. RNAcentral describes it as "partial 16S ribosomal RNA". It matches the Rfam family "Bacterial small subunit ribosomal RNA", at positions 28 to 507 of the family's 1533-position model. The record is from RNAcentral.